This 148-nucleotide non-coding RNA is filed under the name Pseudomonas aeruginosa C3719. RNAcentral describes it as "radC RNA". It matches the Rfam family "radC RNA". Lineage: Bacteria; Pseudomonadati; Pseudomonadota; Gammaproteobacteria; Pseudomonadales; Pseudomonadaceae. The record is from RNAcentral.
UCCUUUGAGCCGUGAGCUGCUGACGUUGUCGGCAUCCCUCCAGUAGCCGUGAUCUGCGAGGCUACAGCACGGAUUACCGUGUAGAUCACUCCCUAGGUCGCACCAGCUUCCGGAAGCGCGAUCAAUCGACCAUCAGGUUGAUGGAAGC